ACCUGGGUGGCUCAGUCGGUUGAGCGUCUGACUUCAGCUCAGGUCAUGAUCUCACGGUUUGUGGGUUCGAGCCCCGCAUCAGGCU
Molecule: transfer RNA, 85 nt
Filed under: Felis catus (domestic cat)
Lineage: Eukaryota; Metazoa; Chordata; Mammalia; Carnivora; Felidae
Rfam family: tRNA
About the family: Transfer RNA (tRNA) molecules are approximately 80 nucleotides in length. Their secondary structure includes four short double-helical elements and three loops (D, anti-codon, and T loops). Further hydrogen bonds mediate the characteristic L-shaped molecular structure. tRNAs have two regions of fundamental functional importance: the anti-codon, which is responsible for specific mRNA codon recognition, and the 3' end, to which the tRNAs corresponding amino acid is attached (by aminoacyl-tRNA synthetases). tRNAs cope with the degeneracy of the genetic code in two manners: having more than one tRNA (with a specific anti-codon) for a particular amino acid; and 'wobble' base-pairing, i.e. permitting non-standard base-pairing at the 3rd anti-codon position.
Source: Rfam by way of RNAcentral